CCCUUAGAUGUCCGGGGCUGCACGCGCGCUACACUGAAUGAAUCAGCGUGCUAGAAAACCUUGUUUGACAUGGCUAGGUAACCCAUUGAAAAUCAUUCGUGAUUGGGAUCGGGACUUGCAAAUGUGUCCCUUGAACGAGGAAUUCCCAGUAAGUGCGGGUCAUCAACUUGCAUUGAUUACGUCCCUGCCCUUUGUACACACCGCCCGUCGCACCUACCGAUUGAAUGGUCCGGUGAAGCCUCCGGAUUGGCGCGCACCUCGGUGCCGCCGAGAAGUUGGCUAAACCUUACCAUUUAGAGGAAGGUGAAGUCGUAACA
Molecule: ribosomal RNA, 317 nt
Filed under: uncultured eukaryote
Lineage: Eukaryota
Description: partial 18S ribosomal RNA
Rfam family: Eukaryotic small subunit ribosomal RNA
Source: RNAcentral